Oncorhynchus tshawytscha (Chinook salmon) is the source of this 343-nucleotide long non-coding RNA. The record is from Ensembl. Lineage: Eukaryota; Metazoa; Chordata; Actinopteri; Salmoniformes; Salmonidae.
GGAUGAGUCUGGAUCCUCCUCUUCUAUCACGGUGGAUGAGUCUGGAUCCUUCUCUUCUGUCAUGGUGGAUAACGGCUCUCAAAGUGACCUUGUCCGAGAGAUUGGCGAGGUUAUCAAAAUGCCAAGGAAAUGGCUUCCUGAAAUCCCUCAAGCAGCUGAUUGGUCGACUCCAUGGCUAAUUGGAGAGCUGACCCCGCCCCCUCGUCAAGACGCAGCUGUCUCCAAUUACCCAUUCCUUCUGACGCUAUAUAAAAGCCAGUGUUCUGUUCAAGAGGGGAUCUCUUCUUUUUGGAGGUAGAGAUUUUGCUGGAGGUAGGGAUUGCUGAGAUUGAUUGUGAUAGAG